This 301-nucleotide ribosomal RNA is filed under the name uncultured bacterium. RNAcentral describes it as "partial 16S ribosomal RNA". It matches the Rfam family "Bacterial small subunit ribosomal RNA", at positions 509 to 807 of the family's 1533-position model. The record is from RNAcentral.
CAGCAGCCGCGGGAAUACGAGGGGGGCAAGCGUUGUUCGGAAUUAUUGGGCGUAAAGGGUGCGUAGGCGGUUUGGCAAGUUUGGUGUGAAAUCUUCGGGCUCAACUCGAAGUCUGCAUCGAAAACUGCCGGGCUUGAGUAUGGGAGAGGUGAGUGGAAUUUCCGGUGUAGCGGUGAAAUGCGUAGAUAUCGGAAGGAACACCUGUGGCGAAAGCGGCUCACUGGACCAUAACUGACGCUGAUGCACGAAAGCUAGGGGAGCAAACAGGAUUAGAUACCCGCGUAGUCCCUGUCUCUUAUAC